ACGGACGCUGGCGGCGUGCUUCACACAUGCAAGUCGAACGGAAAGGCCCCAGCUUGCUGGGGUACUCGAGUGGCGAACGGGUGAGUAACACGUGGGUGAUCUGCCCUGCACUCUGGGAUAAGCCUGGGAAACUGGGUCUAAUACCGGAUAGGACCGUGCUUUAGUGUGUGCGGUGGAAAGUUUUUCGGUGCAGGAUGAGCCCGCGGCCUAUCAGCUUGUUGGUGGGGUAAUGGCCUACCAAGGCGGCGACGGGUAGCCGGCCUGAGAGGGUGUACGGCCACAUUGGGACUGAGACACGGCCCAGACUCCUACGGGAGGCAGCAGUGGGGAAUAUUGCACAAUGGGCGCAAGCCUGAUGCAGCGACGCCGCGUGGGGGAUGACGGCCUUCGGGUUGUAAACCCCUUUCGGCAGGGACGAAGCUUUUGUGACGGUACCUGCAUAAGAAGCACCGGCUAACUACGUG
RNAcentral lists this ribosomal RNA (464 nucleotides) under uncultured bacterium. RNAcentral's name for it is "partial 16S ribosomal RNA". It matches the Rfam family "Bacterial small subunit ribosomal RNA", at positions 29 to 507 of the family's 1533-position model. The record is from RNAcentral.